GACUUAAUGACUUAAAAUAUAAUUUAACCUAAACUUAAAUUAAUUAAUUGAACAUUAAUUUAAUUUAAUGAUUUAGCUUUAAUUAAUUCUACUAAAAAUCAUUAAACUCAUUAAACAUGUUUAACAGAAUAAUAUAAUAUUAAAAAUAAUUUAAAAUAGUAAGUUAAAAUAAACAAUUUUGUUUACUUGCCCACUUUUCUUUUCUCCCUCCUUUUAUCUCUCAUAAUCUUAUUUAAUAUGAUAAUGGUGAAUAUCUUAACUUAAUAAUUCAAAAAAAAAAUUAAGAUCUUUUCAUUUAACUAUCUUAAUACUUAAAGUAAAAAUAAAAUAAUAAAUUUUAAUCAAUAAUUUAAUUUAGAUUAAUAAUAAUUUAAUCAUAAUUUAAAUUUAAAAUCACCUUUAAGUCAUUAAUUGUUUGAAUUGGUUUUUAAAAGAUAAAAAAUUCUUCUUCAAGCUUUUUUAUCUACCGGAGUAGGUCAUACUAGGUAUAAAACUAUGUCGUAUAGGGUGUACAAGGUGUCGGUGAUUUUUUUAUAUUUUUGUAGACCCCCUCCCGAGGAGGAGUUUUUGGGGCGGAUUUUUUCUAUCAUGAUGACCCUCCUGACCACCCCGGGAAUUAAGCUGACGGGGGCGGCCAGAUUAGACAGAAGGCAGAGAGGAAGUGAGGGCUGUGGAAAAAAAGGCGGGAAAAGGGAAAAAUAUCUGGGGGGAAAAACACAACUGUAGAGGGUGCGGCAGAUUACGAGAGAGGGGGAGUUACCAGUGGAGCAAGGGGAGAAAGCAGAGGAGCUUUCAAAAAUCUGGCUAGUAGAGGAGGCAGUGAGGGCGGUAAGAUAAGUGAGCUUCAUCGGGGAGGAGUGCUCUCAGGUACGAGUAUUAUUGACUUUUGAUUCAUAUUCCCCUAUCGCAUUUGCUUCUUCACUCAUUUUUUUUUAUGUAGUUUUCGUUCAUUAAAGAGACGUGUUUGCUAUGCUAUUCUUUCACUCUCUUGGAUUUCAUUCGAGAAUAUUACGUAUAUGGGUUUGUAUGGAUCAUGUUGAUGUUCUUUAUAUAUAUAUAUAUAUAUAUAUAUUUUACCUGGUUCAUAGCCCACGGAUUAAUGCUUGGAAAGAGGCUCAAUAUAUUUGCUAUUUGUUUUCUCCCGUUUGUUUCCUUUUGAACAUUUUACACCAUUUCAAUCUCUGUUCCUUCUUCCUUCAUAUACGUCAUUUUGAGUUGGUGAGUUCACUGCUAGUCCGCGGGAAUCGAAUAGGGACUUGGAUUUUAGAGUUGUUUAUCUUCUCUCAGUUUGAAGAAUCCGUCUAUCAACCCUGUAGUCCCAGUUUAUGAAAUGACUCCUCACACAGCCGCCACUACUUUGUUUUUCUUUUUCUCACCAUUCUCUUCAUUGUCUUUUCAUUCAUCUCCACUUUUUCCCUCCUCCAUUCUCAUGGAAGGCCGCCCUUGCUCUCAGCUCGCCUUCGCCAUUGCCGGCCACUGACCACGCAGUCUUUCCUCGCCUAUAUUACUACAUAGCCAUCAGAGUCGCCAUCUCCACUUUACAACGCCGCCGCAUCCCUCAUAGUUGAGCCACCACCUUUGUAUCUCUAUGAAACCGCCUUGGACUAGCCAUUGUUCACCAUCCCAUAGCUCCAUGACGCCACAGCCGCUGCCCAUAGCUUGCAUGGUUACCACACCGCCGGAAUGACACCAGAAAUGCCAACCUUCACGCGGACCACCAGCAAUGCCACUGUCUAUACCGCCUCCUCAACUCCGUUUGACGAUGGAAUCAUCAGCGGGGAAGAACCAUGAGUUCUGGCCGUCAAGGUUCCACAAUCUCCAUCUAGUCCCUCUUAUAAGCUGUUGCGACCAUCCCCAAGCAAGGAUCCUCAUAUACGAACGUUGCCCAAGGAAGCUUCCGUGAUCGUUUUUAUAAAACAAAUAAGGUUCUAUUGACAUGGAAGCAAUGGCUCGAGAUCGGUAUCGGUGCUGUUUGGGGACUGAAGCAUCUACAUCAAGGCUCGGAAUGCGAAAUCAUUCACCAGGACAUCAAGACCACAGAUAUUUCGUUAGAUGAGAAACGGGUGGCCAAAUUUGCUGAUUUCGGAGUGGUGUUGUUUGAAGUACUGUGCGCAGGACUGGCUGUGGAAGGGAGCCUGAUGAAGGAGCGUUCUUUGAGGGGCACAGAGACGAAGGUGAUGCAAUGUUAUGCAGAAGUAGAUGGAAAGGGUUUCGAGAUUAGCAUGGGUGUAUUUGCUUUCUAUAUGGUGUUGGAUGCUUUGAGUGAAAAUGGGUAGUGUCAGUGCUUUUUAAAAAAAAAUGAUGAUGUUGGCAGAGGCUUGACUUGAAUUUAAUGGUGUACAUAAAGCAUGUGUUUGGCUCAGCUAUGCAUGACCACUUUCUCUCACGGCGCGUGUCAUCCUUUUAAGAGUAUUUACUUAUUUGCUUAUUUUCUUUCCAUGUAUUUAAAAUUUUCAUACCAAAAAUAAUUUCCUUCAAAAUUUAGUUUUUUUUUACGUACUGUUCUCAAACAAUUCUUCGACAUCCCGGUCUCCGAAUUUGUUUUUUUAGUAUUACUAUUAUUCCAAUUAUUUAUUUAUUUUAAAACUUCAUUUUAAAUCAAAUUCUUUAAAACUUCUGAUUUUCGAAUUAGAUCCCUAAUCCCGUAAAUUCCCAUAUUCCCAUUAAUUUAUUUAAUCAUUAACAUUUUAUUUAUUUAUUUAUUAACCCCAUUUUAAGUCUAAUCCUUCAAAAUUUCAAAAUUUCAAAAUUUCGAUUUCCAAAUUUAAUUUCUAAUUUCAAAAAUUCCAAUAUUUCUGUUUAUUAAUUUAAGUAUUAUUUUCAUUAUUAUUAUUAUUCUAUUUAUUUAUUUUUAAAAAAUCCAAUUUUUAAAUAAUUCUUUAAAAUUCUGAUUUCCAAUUUCUUUAAAAUUUAAUUUCUAAAGUUCCAAUUCUUAAAUUUAAUUUUCAAGACACCAAUUCUCAAAUCCUUUUAAAAAUUCCAAUUUCUUUUCCAAUUCUUAAAUUUAAUUUUCACGACUUCAAUUCUCAAAUCAUUUUAAAAAUUCCAAUUUCUUUCAAAUUUAAUCUCCAAAAUUCCAAUUCUUAAAUUUAAUUCCUAAUACUCCAAUUUUUUAAACAAAUUUCAAAAAUCCAGUCUUCACUCGAACAGUUUUAAUUCCAUUUCGGUUUUCAAAUAAUCUCAUGUUUCUCGACUUUACAUAAGCAUGAAUGUAAUUUUCAUAAUUCUGGAGUAAUAGAAUCUGUGAUAUAAAUUCAUGCAAAAUAAACGGGUUUUGGUGGGGGCCCCACAUAUGUGACUUAUCGAUCGAUUGACAGAUAGAUCAAUUUGAUCAUGAUACAUGAUUGAUUUAUCCUGCUCUAUGACAUGCUCAGAAUUAUUUCUUAAUUGUGCACUAACCUCACUUCUUGAUAGCGCUUCAUGGAUCACUGCUCAGGUACGCAUCCACAUCCGCUCUGGUCAUUUUCGGUAUGCAUGUUUAGAUUCUCACGUGUGUAUGAUCACUUUGAGUAUUCAUUGAUUUCCUCAUCAAUUAUCAUGAUUGCUUCAUUUUAUUAGUAGAGACCUAACUUUAGGGACUUAAAGGGGCGCUACGGUCUGUACCGUACUUUCCCGAUAAGUAACCUGACCCCCGAACCCGAUCCGGUUUUUCACAGAUCACCUUUUUCAAAAUAAGGAGUCACACUUAGGGUUUUCUUUUUUAUUUUGUUUACCCUUUUAAAAAAUAAAACAAAAAUAAGUGGCAACUCCAAGUUAGUUUUCUUAAUAAAAAUAAAUAAAUUAAUCAAUUUUUCAAAAUGAAAAAUCGAGCUCGUCAUUCGAGUGGGAAACGCAUGAGCCGAAAUGCGGGGUCCACAAUUUUAUUUUUAUUUUUUAGUCUCCAAAAUUCAACUCGACCUAGGCUAAGCCCAAAUGCCAAACACAUAGUAUGAUAUAAUCAUAUAACCCAACAACCCAAUAGCCCAUCCAACAACAAUCUAACACAACCUAAUAGCCUAACCAGGCUUAAAAUUAAUUUAAUUAAAGCUAAAUCUGGGAUUGGAAUAUGUAUGUAUAUGCCUAGCAGUCCAUUGAUCACGCGGCAGACCAUGGUUCAAUUCUUAGUUAUUUCGUGGAAAUAUUGCCCAUAUGAUGCAAUAGUUACGAUUUUCUCCUCCAUUACUAAAAGAAAAUAUUUAUAUAGUUUUAUUUCCAUAGUCCACAAGUAUUGAUUUUUUUUUUGGAAGCUUACUUUGAGUGAUUUCGUCGUUUAUAAGAAGUUAUUUCACCUUAAAAAAAUCAAUUGAGUGAUUAUAAAGACAUAAUGAAGCCUUGAAAAUCCGUUAUAAACCUUAGGACUUGUUUGGCAAUUAUUUUUAAAAAUAGUUCUAAAAAACAAUUUUUAAGAAUAAUUUCUUAAAUAUAUAUAUAUAUAUAUAUAUAUAUAUUUUAAUGUUUUGUAAAAUAAAAUUUUGUUUAAAAACUUAAAAUUUUUUUAAUAUAUUUUUAAAUAUGUUCUAAAAAUAAUUUUUAUGUCUAAUAUUUUAUUUUUAAUUAUUUUACAUAUUGUAUAAUUAUUUUUUUAAACAAUCCUAAAAAAAUAAGUGAAAAUAAUAUAAAAUAAUUAAAAAAUGUUAUCUGAAUACACUAUAUUUUCUGUUUUUAAAAACAUAAAAUAUAAAAUAAUUUUUAAUUCCUAAACGCGUUUUUUUAUUUUCUUGUUUUAAAGAACAUAAAACUAUUUUCAAAAACAGUUACUAAACAAACCCUUAAGAUCAAGUUGAAAUAAAAAGGAGUUGGUGUAAUCAAUUAUGGAACAUAUAUUUUUAUUGGGUGUGCUUUAUAUUACAUUAUUUCUUAUCGUGUACAUUAAAAUUUGAAAAAGAGACUAAUGCCAAGUUUAAAGAAAUUUAUAUAUAAAAAAAACCACGUAAUUAAGAAAGAAAUCAUAUUUAAUUUUUUUUUAUAUUGGUUGGCGGAAAAAGAAUGAUAAAAUGAAGAGAUCAUGUUCCUUUUUUCUUUUGGUUUUUAAAAUUUUUUUCUUUUCAAAAAAUAGAUGUAAACAAUUUAAUCAAAUAUAGGUUAAAUAUUUUAAAUAUAUAAUUAAGUUAAUAAUGAGAUUAUUAAAUGGAUUAAUUGGGGUUAAAUUCAUGUUAUGUAGAUAUGAACCUGCAUUAUUUUUCACGUGUCUCCACUCAAAACGGUGAGACUCGUUUUUAAUUUGAUGAAAAUUUAAUUUUUGAAAAAAAUUGAAAUCACCACUUAUUUUAGUUUAUUUUUAAAAGGGAAAACAAAAUAAGAAAUAAAAUCUUACUAUGACUCCUUAUUUAGAAAAGAUAUGUCUGUAAAAAUCGAAUCUAAAUUGGAAGAUCAAGUUACCUAUUGGGAAGAUACGACGAAAAGCCGUAACACCCUUCUAAGCCCAAAUACCUAUGGUCACUACUUAAUGAAUUGGAAGAAUCACAAUAAUUAAUUAAUUAAUCAUCGAUACCAACAUUAAUGACAUAAAUCAAUAUACAAAAAAAAAAAUCAUAAAAACAAAUUACCAUAAUGUAUAAAUAAAUAACAAGAAAAUUUUCCAAAUUGAUUCAUUCAGCCAAUUAAAAAAAUUAAAAAUUAUUUUCUUAAGAAAUUCCAAAUGAGUUUAUUAAAAACAAUUUCAAAUUAAUGAUUUUAAUUUAUUUAUUUACAAAAUGAUUUCAAUUCAUUUCUAAUAAAUGAUUUGAUUCAAUUUUAUUUGCAUUCACUUUUUAAAAAGUUAUUUAUACUCAUUUUAUCAAAAACAAAUUAUUACAAAAAUCUCAAUUUGACAAUAGGGUUUUCACUAACUUUUAACCAAAAAAAAAAUUACAACUUUAUUUACGAAGGAAUUAAAUUUUUUACAAAUUUUGUUUAAAACAUAUUUUCAACCCAAUUUUAUUUAUAUAAAAAAAUUAUUUCUACAACUUCAGUUUGCAGAUUCCAUUCUUAUAAUCCUAUUCUAAUUAGAGAAAUAGAAUUUGUUUUAAAAAAAUCUUUUUUUUGGACAAUUUUAUUAAAAAAUAACCUUUUGAACAAUUUUAUUUACAAAACAAUUUUUUUUUUGACAAUUUUUAUUAAACAAAUAAAUUUCUUAACAAUAGUUGCUAAAAACGAUUUUUUUGAAUUUAGUUAAAAAAAAUUUAGAUUUUCCUAAAAACAUUUUUCUAAAUUUUUAUUAAAAAAACUUUCAUUUUUUAACAAAAAUAUUUUCUAAACAAUUUUUUUUAUUAAAAUAAAAUUAUUAAACUAUUUCUUUUAUUAAAACAAAAUUUUGUAAUCAUCUAAAUAAAAUGAAGAAAAUAAAAUAUACUCAGAUAAGCUUACAACAAACUUAAUGCCUCAUUUACAACUUACGUGAGUCUCAUUUUCUUUUAUUAAAUUUGGUUCUCUAUGGUCACCCAUCAUAAUACCAAUAGUAGAAUUGGCUCAUGCAAACAAAAAUGAGCAUAAAUAUCAAGAGUCCAAAAUAAUUAUUCAAGUCAAAAUUCAAACUUCAAAUUAAUUCAAUAAAUUUUUACCAAUAAAAUUGCACUCAAAUUAAUAAAUCUAACCCAACAAAAAUAUCCCUUGUUACUAGCCCUAGUCUAAAAUUUCCAAAUAAAUCACCAAAAUACAACACAAUCAUUAAACCCAAAAUAUCAUAAACAAAAUAAAUUCAAUUAUACUUAAAUUUAAUAUCUCAAGCCCCAUUUAAUACACAAAUCCAAAUUCACAACCAAACCCAAUUUAAUAUAUAGAGACUAAAUGUAACAAAAAUAUACUACAAUAUUAAUUCAUGUACAAAUUAAACUAUUCAAAUGAGCAAAACUCAAAUCAAAUAUCUUCCAACAAAUUUCACCAAUAAUGGACCAAAUUUCAUAUUGAUUAACAACCCCAAAAUUCACAAAUAAUUACAAUUGAAAUCAAAGCAAAAUAAUAAUAAUAAUAAAAAUAAAUAAAAUAAAAUAAAAUGAAGCAUAAAUAAACUUUCACUUUUUUUUUUUGGUUUUUUGAAUAUGGAUGGUUGCUGAAGGGUGGCAGUGGAGUUGAGAGGAGAAAGAAAUGAAAAAAAAAAAAACAAAGAAUGAGAGGGAAAGAGAGAGAAAGUAGUGAGAGAAGAGAUGGGUGGAAGGGGAGAAUGAGAGGGGAGGAGGGGGGUCGCCGACCGGCAAUGGCUUGCCGGCGGUGGUGAGGUUUGAUGGGUUUUUGGGUGAGGGAAGAAAUGGGUAUGGGAAAGAGGAAAAGAAAGAAAAAAUAAGAAAAGAAAGGGAAAGUGGGUGUGGUCGUGUGGCAAUCGGAGUUGGGGAGAGAGGGUGGGGGAGGAAAAUGGANNNNNNNNNNNNNNNNNNNNNNNNNNNNNNNNNNNNNNNNNNNNNNNNNNNNNNNNNNNNNNNNNNNNNNNNNNNNNNNNNNNNNNNNNNNNNNNNNNNNAAAUGAAAAAGGAAAGGAAGGAGAGAGGAGGAAAGAGAAAGGAGGUUGGAAAUGGAAAGGUAGAAAAAAAUGGAGAAGAAGAAAAAGGAAAGGUAGAAAAAAAUGGAGAAGAAGAAAAAGGAGGGGGGUUGGGGGGAAGANNNNNNNNNNNNNNNNNNNNNNNNNNNNNNNNNNNNNNNNNNNNNNNNNNNNNNNNNNNNNNNNNNNNNNNNNNNNNNNNNNNNNNNNNNNNNNNNNNNNGGGGGUUGGGGGGAAGAGGGAUGGGGUGGCUGGCUAUGGUCGUGCGAGAGUCGGAGUUUUGGGGGAGAGAAAAAUGGGUGGGAAAAGAGAGGAGGAAAAAAAUAAAAAAGGAAAUGAAAAGAACUAAAAAUAGAAAUACAAUAAUAAUAAAAAUUAAAAAUAAGACAAUACAAAAAUAAAAAAUUAAAAGGUUUGGACGAAAAAUCAAAUAUAAUUAAGUUUAAAAUUUAAGAAUAAAAUUGAACACCAAACUAAUAUAAAAGUAAAUUCAAGAUAAAUUUUAAGAUUUACAAUAUAUUGACCCAAAAAUUAUUUAUUUAUUAAAUGAGUUAUUAUGGUAAAUAUGAAUUUGAUCUGAGCUUAUUUAUACUCAAUCCAAACCCACAAAAAAACAUGUUGAGUUUGUGUCAUAUUCAAUAUUUAAUUUUGUCAUUUCUACAAAAAUUAAGAAUAUGUUUGGUAAAUAUUUUAAAAAAUAAUUUUGAAAAAUAGUUUUUAUAGAGCAAAAGUAAAUUUGAAAACUUAAAAUAUUUUUAACUCAUUUUUAAUAUUUUUAAAUAUGUUUUAAAAAUAAUUUCUAUAUUUAAUGUUUUAUUUUUAAUCAUUCUACAUAUAUAAUUAUUUUUUAAAAUAAUCUUUAUAAAAACAAAUGAAAAAUAACUAAAAGACAUUAUUUGAAAACACAUUAUUUUAUGUUCUGGAGAAAAUGAUAGUAGCGUAAACUGAUAAGAUUGCCAAUAGCUGUGAGUAUGCAAUAAACAAGGAUGAAUUAAGAGAAGAGGUGGAGAAAAUGAGAUUAUUGAAUGGUUUUUUCGGAUGAAUUAUCUAAAGGAUUUCUGCAUUGAGUGGGAGGAACAACAACCUUAGCAAUAGAGAGGAAUGAGAACCGUAAAAUGAGAUAGGAAGACCGAAAAGGUCAAAGGAAACAAAUAUUUAUAGGUGGGGGUAAACUUGUAAUUUCAUAUUCGGAGCGGAGCGGGACAUAUUAUUAUUAAACCCGACCCCGCCCUGAACUCGUCUCAUCUCCGAAUUCUAUGCUCCCAUACCCAUCCUAAUAAGUGCGGAUGACCCGAAAAAACCCACGAAAUUAUUAUUCCUAUAAAUAACUAUCAAAAUUCAGUUUAUAAUCAAUGUGAAUGGUAGUUGAAACUUCAAACUAUUCCAUAACAUUUUUCAACUAGUAUUAGAAGUUUUAGUGGUGUCCUCACUAAUUACUACUCAAAAAAACUUGCAAUGUACAAGUCUAUAGUCUCACAGAAGUAAAUAAUUAUAAAAAGAGUAAAAGUAAUCUGGAAGGAUCCACUCCAGGGACUAAUUAUUUAAUAUGAUGACAAUGUUGAAGACUAUGACCACAAAUAUUUCUCUGGCCUGAUGUGAUUAGGGUUGGACCAAGUCCAGCAAAUGAGUCCACAACAUUAUGUUAAUUUUUUUAAUAUAUAUAUAAAUAAAAGCCCACAUACUCUACGGCGAUUUCUCCCCUGUUUGGAACUGUGAGUCAGAAAACGGUGUCCUAGCCACAGAUUCCAUAGAGAUUUCUCCCUGGUUUGGCCCCGAAACACUCUGAUAGCCACGCAUAUAUCUAUCUACCCGUCAUGCUUAAAGGAAAAUUUUACCUCUGUGGCUAUUAUAAUUUUAAGAAUAUUGUGGUGAAUUGGGUAUAAAGAAGUGGUAGUAGAGGCAGCCACUUUUCAGGCCUGCCGACCACAGUAUCAAAUCUUCUAGAAACCCAUUAAUGGGCCUCGGGAGCUUAUUCUAAAAAAUUUGUUAGAAAAAAUUGUUCUUGGAUCUCAAAGUUUACUCUUGAGUCUUGAAAAGUUGUUAAAAAUGUAAUUCUUUUUUAACUUAUUUUUAGAAACGAAUGCAAGUGCCACCUACUUUCCUUGUACAUAGAAUUUUUUUUAUUUAUAUUGUUAUUAUUAGUCGAUUUAUUUUAUAACUUGACAAUUAUGUUAAAUGUCUUACAUUUAUUUAAAUAUAUAAAUUUAAUAAAUACAAAUUCUAUUAAAUUAUUCACAUGAGCAUGGAGGCUUCAUGUUUCCUUUGUUUCUAUCAAAACAAAUGUAUUAUGUUGAGUUACCAAUUUUUCAAGUUUAAGCUUAUAAGAUUUAGAUUUCAUAUUCGUAUUGUGCUCUUAAUAAAAGGGAUUUCUCCUAUUGCAUUUUACGAUGAAGGCAACAUAUGUGCAUUUGAGAAGCUUGAUUGUUUCACUCUUCUUACAAUUAUGUUGUUUCUUCUAAAAUGUUUAUGGAUAGAUGAUUUCUUAAACCCCUUAGAAGUCCGACCCUUGACACAAUGCCUAAAUCAUAAAAUGUUUGCUCUAGAGUGUGGAAUAGGGUUCCAAACUUCCAAAAUGGACUUGAUGCAUCUCAAUUGUGAAAUCAGUCUUCCUAUAAUUGAGUACUUUAGGGUUGAAUUGACGGUGUUGGAUUGAUGGCUAAAGUUGGAUGUUCCCUAAGACGGAUAAACAUCAUCUUGUGAAGGAAACUUGAAAAGGGGACCAUUGUGUCAUUUCGAGAUGUGUCAUUUCCAAAAGCUUUCACAUCGUCAUUAAUUCAUUAAUGCAAAAGUUACUAUUUUGCAAUACCAUAAAUCAUAAAAUGCUUGCCCAAGUGUGGAGUAGGGUUCCAAACUUCCAAAAUGGACUCGAUGAGUCUCAAUUGUGAAAUUAGUCUCCCCACAAUCAAGCACUUUAGGAUUGAAUUAAGGGUGUUGGAUUGAUGGAUAAGGUUGGAUAUUCCCUGAGGUGUGAUUAACAUACAACAUCUAGUGAUGGGAGUUGAUAAAGGAGACCAUUGUGUAUUUGCCACGUGUCAUUUCUAAAAGCUUUCAUAUCAUCAUUGAUUUAUUAGUGCAAAAGUUAUUAUUUUGCAAUACUAUAAAAAUACCUUAUUUUUCGCCAAAAUAAUAAUAAUAAAAAAGGAAUAUUUCAUUUGUUUCUAGCCUCCUAGACCUCUCACUCUCCUACACUCUCUUCUUACAAUCUUGAGACCUCAUUGUGUCUAUGUCUUUGACCUCCUACAAACGAGGAAUCUAUAUAACUUAUAUUAAAAAGAUAAUGUCUUUUAAAAAUUAUUUAAAAAAGGAAUGUAUUAAAAAAUUCUGAUCACAUCAAAUUUUAAAAUUUUAAAAUACAUAAGAUAUACGCAUAUUUUUUAUAUAAAAGUUGUCAUUACUUUCUAUUUUGAAAAAGGGGAAGAAAAGGACGUGCAAAGAAGCUAUUGGUUAAUGAGAAUAACUAUAACUAAGAUAAUAAUUUUUUUUGGGUAUAAAGAGUAUUAGUUUAAAUGAAUUAUAUUGUAUUACAUAAUUUUAAUGAUUUGAUGAUUUCAAGUAUCUUGUAUUUAAAUUUCAUUAUGUUAUUCAUUUUUAAAUAUUUAAAUACACGAAAAAUAUGGGAUUAUUUAAAUCUAAUUAUAAUUAUUUAUUUUUAAAUAUUUAAUUAUAUGAUGAAUAUGGGUUUUAUUUUAUUUUAUUUUUGAAAAUGAGUUUGUUUUAAAAAAGUAAAAAUCUUGUUUCGUUUUGAGUUCUCAUUCACGUUAUAAAUGGUUUAAUAAAACAUUCUAAUAUGCCCAUAAUUAAUCAAAUAAAUUGUUCCAAUAUAAAAUGAUAUCCACCUAUAAUUAUCCAUAAUUUAAUAAAUAAAUAAAAUAUUUAUAUUAUAUUUUUAGAAUAAUUUUUUAUUUGAAAUAUAUAUGAGAUAAUAUUUUAUUCAUAUUAAAAUUUCUCUUAUAUUAUAACUAAACAAAGUCUUUUAUAUGAUUACAUUAUGUUUUCCAUCUUUAAUUGUUUAGAAAAUAAUUUUCAUUUUUAAGAAAAUUUUGAAAUUUUCAUUUUUUUUAAGAAAAUACCAAAUUAGUGUUUUUACUUUUUUUUCUUUUUCUUUUUCUUUUUUCUUUUUUCAUUUUUGUAGCUUAAUUUAAAAAAAAAAAAGGAAAAUAAAAACAUCGUGGAAACAUAUUUUCAGCCCAAUUUUUGUUUUACUUGAAAAUGAAAAAAAAAACCUCUAAACAAAUAAAGAGUUAAGUAGUGUUUUUUUUUUACUUAAUUCUAAAUAUAACUUAAAAUUAAAUAAUAUUUAAUAAUAUUAAGUAUUUGAUGGUUUGUUUUUAUAAUAUUUUAUUUCUAUUAAUCAUUAAAAACUAAAGAAAAGAUUAAUAUGUUACUUUUUUUCAUUUAAAAAAUGCUAAAUGUUUUACCUUUUUCUAUUUAACAAAAACUUUAUAAUAAAACAUAAAAUAAAAAAAAAUUAAAGUCAUAAAACAAAUUACUUUCAACAAAAACUAAAAAAAAAAAAAAAAAAAAAAAGCACCCUUUUAAUCUUUUCAUGGGCUGACAUUAUGUUUUGCAUUUAUUAAAGUUAUAAAAUAAAUUACAUUCAAUAAAAAUAAAUAAAAAAUACAAGCACCCUUUUAGUCUUUUCAUGAACUCGUAUUAUGUUUUGCAUUUAUUUAAUAGAAUAGAAGUGACUUUUCCGUAAUUUCACCCUUUUGCAUUUAUUUAAUGGAAUAGAAGUGACUUUUCGUUAAUUUCACUCAUUUGAGAAUGACAUAAUUAUUUUUUAUUUAUGGAAUCAUUGACCAAGCCGAUAACUAUGCCCUUUGAUUUUAGCUUUAUUUAUUAUUAUUAUUAUUUUCAUUCUAUUUUUUUUUCUUAAUAUAUGUUUUAAUUUAUGAAUUUUUUUAAGAUAAUAUUUGACCCCCAAAAAUUACUAAAAAAAUUAAGAAAAAUGAUUUUUUUCUAUUUAUUUUAUUUAUGAAAAAUAUAUAAAAAUCAAAUAUAACUAAAAUUAAGUAAAAAUUUAUAAAAUUUUAAAUUAUUUAAUCUUAAUAUAAACGAGAAAAAAAAAUAUGAAAUGAAUUUAAAAUAACAUAUAAUAAUAAUUUAUAAACUUUAAAUCUAAUUUUAUUUUUCUUCCUACUUUUUCUUCUUCUCAUUUUUCUUUUUAUUUAGUAUUUACUUUUCCUCACUUUUUUUAUAAGAUUAUAUUUGGUUCCUAGAAAAUUUUAGGAAAAAUACAAAAAUAAAAAAAAAAGUGAAAAAAAAUAAAAAAUAGGUUUAAACUUAAUAAAUUAUUUUUAUAUAUUUUUUUAAACUCAUUCACUUAUUUAUCUCAAUUAUAUAAAAAUUAAAUCAUUUAAAUAUAUAUAAUUUUUUUUAAAGUUUUAUUUGUAUUUGGUUUUCUUGUGUAGUUUUUAUAAAAAGAAAAAGUGAGAACAUUAAAGUGGGAGUGGUUGUGGUUGUGAAGUAAUGAUUUGCCUUUAUUUAUGAAUUUCACCUUUUGGUAGUUCGGAACGGAAAAAGGCAGAUACAGACUGAUGGUUGCGGACACGAGCCUCAACCACCUCGGAGUCGUUAGACUUUUGUUCAUUUUAUUUUAUUUUUUAUUUUUCAAUUUUGACCAACUCUCUCUCUCUCUCUCUCUCUCUCUCUCUCUCUCUCUCUCUCUCUCUCUCUCUCUCUCUCUCUCUCUCUCUCUUUCUCUCUCCCCUCACAAGUCACAUCUCAAUCAAAUUUAAAAAAAAAAUUUGUUCAUUGUCAUCCAAUUUAUAUUAUUGUUACGGUAGUUAAGAAUAUUUUUAAAUUGGAUGACAAUUGAUUAUAUUUUUUAUUUUUUUAUUAUUGGAUAAACCCAUAUUUAUGCGAUAAUAUUUGUUUGCCACGUCCAUUUCCUUCCUUCCUACCUAACAAUGUGGUUUAUUAAAUGCAACCAAAAUUCUAAUAACGUAUUUAGGCGGUUUUCUCUUCUAAGUUCUAGACUUAUAUGUAUGAUUUUGACUCAUCAUGAAAAAUAGAAGUUGUCUUUAUCCAUCAGUAUGUCAAUUUCAGUUUGUUAACUAAUGUAUGAAUUGCGUAUGAAAGUGAAUAAGCCUACAAAACUUCAAUUUGAAUUUUAAUGAUUAACAACUUUUUAUAGUUUUUUUUUUUGAAAUAAAAUUAUGUUUAAUAACUCAAAUAUAAAAAUUAUUUUUCAUUUAUUAUUUUGUUUAAAGUUUAUUAAUCAUAUAUGAUAACAAAAAAAUAAUUCUCAAAUUAUUUUUAGAAUAUUUUACAAAAACACCUUUAAAACAAAUUUUAAUUUAUCAAAUUAAUUUUCAAAAGUGUUUUCAAAAUGAAAAGGCCAAAAUGGGUGCUACUCUAUGUAUCCUUUGAAAAUUGAAAAGAAAAAACGCUUUAAAGUAUUUUAAAAAUAAAUCUCUUAGUUUAAGUUCAUCUAUAGGAAUACAACCACAUACAAGAGUUUCUUGUAUAAUAUAUAAAUGUUUUUAAUUUUAUAAUAAAAACUAUAUAAAUACAAUCGAAUUUAUUAAAGGGGUGAAUUUGUCAAAUUUUUUUUAAUAUAAAAACAAAUGUAUUUAUGUAAUCAAUUUCAUUUAGGAAUAGUUUCUUAUUUUUGGCUUUAGUGGACUAUUGAAAAAUUUAGUAUAAUAGUAAAGGUAUCUGAUUGAUUAAUAUUCACAUAUACACGCGACAAAACUUAUGUGUCAUGAAUAAAUACCAAAAACAUUAAGAGAGAAGAAUAUUAUAAAAAUAUUAUAUAUUUGUGGUCUUUGAUUAAACUAUUUUGAAUAAAAUAUAGGGAAUGAGUGAUAUUAAUUUUAUUAUAAAGAAUGGCUAAUACAUUAAUAAAAAAUUGUAUGAUUGAUACACUUGUCAAUGGAUAAAGUUGUUAAUGUUUUAUUAAAUUUUCUUGCAUAUUUGUCCCAUUUCUAUACAUACCACUACGUACCCAGUUUGAAUUAUAUCCUAGGAUCUACUGCAUAGAGAGAGGACAUCAACCAAUUUCAAUGUUAGGGUUUAUCAGAAAUUGACAUACAAAUUAAAGUUUUUAUGCAUUAAAACUUCACCCAAUUUAAUUAAAUAUUAACAUCCCCACAGAAUCAUCUGCAUUUGUCAGCUAGCUAAAGGUCAAAGUCAAAAGUCUGGGAAAGCUAUCCUGGGAGGAGGGGUAGCUGAAACGUGUAUGGAUUAGAUGGUAGAUGGUAGAUGGUAGAUGGUAAGGAAUCUUUAGAGAAGUUUACGGUCAUGAGGUGAUUGGCCAAGGGCCAAGAGGUUCGUGUUGCCCGUUGAUUUCUCCGGUCUAAAUCUCACAAGGGUUAGAAGGCCCCGUGCCUGAAACCUUCCAGUCAGCGCACCUUCCUUCUUGGUUCUCUUCGGCUGUUGAGUGUUGAAUCUGGUGCGGAGGUCAUCACGUGAGUAACUGACACAAUCUCUCUCUCUCUCUCUGAUUUGGUGGGUUGGUAGCUUGGUAGCGCUACCCCAUUCUCAUGUUCUAGAGUAACACAGUAUCUUGAAGAGACGAUCUCUAUAAAUUAAAGCUUCAAAAAUGACCAAUGCAGCGUGCUGAUCAUUCAGACUGCAAGCAAGAGAGAAAGGGAAGGGAAAACAAGUAGAUCAGUGAUAUUUACUAGAAUGGUGACUUCAGUGGCUCCUAGAGUUGAGAGCUUGUCCAGCAGUGGGAUCCAGUCAAUCCCCAAAGAGUACAUCCGCCCCCAAGAAGAGCUCACCAGCAUUGGCAAUGUCUUUGAGGAGGAGAAGAAGGAUGAAGGGCCUCAGGUUCCAACUAUUGACUUGAAGGAUAUUGAGUCUGAGGACGAGGUGGUCCGGGAGAGAUGCCGGGAGGAGUUGAAGAAAGCUGCCAUGGAGUGGGGUGUGAUGCACCUUGUUAACCAUGGCAUCUCUGAUGACCUUAUCAACCGUGUUAAGGUUGCUGGAGAGACCUUUUUCAAUCUCCCCAUGGAGGAAAAGGAGAAGUAUGCUAAUGACCAGGCCUCCGGCAAGAUCGCUGGCUAUGGCAGCAAGCUUGCCAACAAUGCUAGUGGACAGCUUGAGUGGGAGGACUACUUCUUCCACCUCAUCUUCCCUGAAGACAAGCGCGAUAUGACCAUCUGGCCUAAGACACCAAGCGACUACGUGUAAGUUCAAUUCAUUGUUUAUGUAAUUAUACGAUGUUUGCUGAUCUGUUUUUCCUCUGGCCAAGUAGUUACUAACUGAAUUUUCUAUUAUAAAAAAAAAUCUGCAAAUUUUACUAAUUUUGAAAUUGUUUCUGGGUUCUAAGAAUUACUUGUUCAAACUUGUGAUUGCAGUCCAGCAACCUGUGAGUACUCGGUGAAACUUAGGAGCCUGGCAACCAAGAUACUAUCGGUGCUAUCGCUUGGGUUGGGAUUGGAAGAAGGGAGACUAGAAAAGGAAGUUGGUGGGAUGGAAGAGCUACUACUCCAAAAGAAGAUCAACUACUACCCCAAGUGUCCCCAGCCUGAAUUGGCUCUCGGGGUGGAAGCUCACACUGACGUGAGCGCUCUCACCUUCAUCCUCCACAACAUGGUACCCGGCCUGCAACUUUUCUAUGAGGGCAAGUGGGUGACAGCCAAGUGUGUCCCCAACUCCAUCAUCAUGCACAUUGGAGACACCAUAGAGAUUCUCAGCAAUGGUAAGUACAAGAGUAUUCUUCACAGGGGACUGGUCAACAAGGAGAAGGUGAGGAUUUCAUGGGCAGUUUUCUGCGAGCCGCCUAAGGAGAAGAUCAUCCUGAAGCCACUGCCAGAGACGGUGUCUGAGACUGAGCCACCACUCUUCCCACCUCGCACCUUUUCCCAACAUAUUCAGCACAAGCUCUUCAGGAAGACCCAGGAGGCUCUACUCUCCAAAUGAGCUGUAGCCUUGUUGUAUUUCAUCUGCUAUACUAAGCUCUCUAUUUGGCUGUUUUGUUACAGUUUGGUCUGUGUUUCAAGCUUCCCAAUCUUUGAUCAUGGCAGGUAUAGGCCAUCAUAUAUGUUUGUUUCUCUGCCUGCUUUUAUUUAAUAAAAUUCGAGAUUUCUAUUCUUCUUUUGUGCACAACCAAGUUUUGGAUUUGAAUUACCAAUGUCAUUAUGCAUUAAUUCUCAAGCUACUUGUAUUGAAAAAUAAAGCCAAUAUGGUAAUGGUAUGAGUGGUG
RNAcentral lists this long non-coding RNA (16582 nucleotides) under Vitis vinifera (wine grape). RNAcentral describes it as "long non-coding RNA (VVIN_LNC000390)". The record is from RNAcentral. Lineage: Eukaryota; Viridiplantae; Streptophyta; Magnoliopsida; Vitales; Vitaceae.